Molecule: non-coding RNA, 129 nt
Organism: Ceratotherium simum simum (southern white rhinoceros)
Lineage: Eukaryota; Metazoa; Chordata; Mammalia; Perissodactyla; Rhinocerotidae
Source: RefSeq, a predicted model, not a curated record
UCUGAAAACCAGUUCAGGAUAUCCACAUGCAAAAGAAUGUGUUGGACAUCUACUUCACACCAUAGACAAAAGUUAACUCCAAAUGGAUAAACAGCCUAAAGAUAAGAAUUAAAACCAUAAAACUCUUAG